Long non-coding RNA from Myotis davidii, 148 nucleotides. RefSeq lists it as uncharacterized. The transcript is spliced from 3 exons. The record is from RefSeq and is a predicted model, not a curated record. Lineage: Eukaryota; Metazoa; Chordata; Mammalia; Chiroptera; Vespertilionidae.
GAAUAAAAUGUCAUACACAUUAAAGUAAACUCAUCUUAAUGUAAAUUAAGUUACAUUUUUAUUGUAAUUUUAUGCAUAACACUUUCCUAUGAUCAGUUUCAUCUUAUUUUAAAGCAGCUUUAUAUAACAGUUUGACGCACUGAAAGAU